This 393-nucleotide long non-coding RNA is filed under the name Ananas comosus (pineapple). RNAcentral's name for it is "long non-coding RNA (ACOM_LNC032557)". The record is from RNAcentral. Lineage: Eukaryota; Viridiplantae; Streptophyta; Magnoliopsida; Poales; Bromeliaceae.
ACCUGAUUUGGAGAUCGUUAGGUGAGUUUUGACAUUAGAGUUGGGUUAAUUUAGCUUAAGUGCUGAAUAUUUGUAUUGAUUGUGGCAUCUUGAUGGAAUUUUAGUGGAUUCGGAGGUUCAGGGCUGGAUUGAAGACCCUUGCUGGUUGAGAGGGAGUUCGGCUGAGUUUCCAGCAUCUCCGAGAUCUUAUUGCUGCCAGGAUUUAGCUUUAGAUGUGGGUUACAUCGGUUUAUUCCUAAGCACAGUUUUAGUCGACAUGUAUGAUUUCUAGUUUUUGUAAAUCAUGUUGUAGCUCAAUUUCGUUGAUUGUAUCAUGGAUGAAAUCAGCAUUGAGGACAUGAUUAGUAAACCAUAAAUAUACAUGUUGGACUGAAAAAUUGACUUAGGAGAAAA